RNAcentral lists this ribosomal RNA (253 nucleotides) under uncultured bacterium. Its description in RNAcentral is "partial 16S ribosomal RNA". It matches the Rfam family "Bacterial small subunit ribosomal RNA", at positions 524 to 776 of the family's 1533-position model. The record is from RNAcentral.
UACGAGGGGGGCGAGCGUCGUUCGGAAUUAUUGGGCGUAAAGGGUGCGUAGGCGGCCUGACAAGUCUGAUGUGAAAUCCCUGGGCUCAACCCAGGGCCUGCAUCGGAAACUGUCGGGCUUGAGUAUGGGAGAGGUGAGUGGAAUUUCCGGUGUAGCGGUGAAAUGCGUAGAUAUCGGAAGGAACACCUGUGGCGAAAGCGGCUCACUGGACCAUUACUGACGCUGAGGCACGAAAGCUAGGGGAGCAAACAGG